ACAUGCAAGUCGAACGAUGAAGCAUUCUUCGGAAUGUGGAAGAGUGGCGAACGGGUGAGGAACACGUAAGAAUCUGCCCCUCAGUCGGGGACAACCCUUGGAAACGAGGGCUAAUACCCGAUAUGCUGUGGAGUGAAAGAAUUUCGCUGAGGGAUGAUCUUGCGUCUGAUUAGCUAGUUGGUGUGGUAAUGGCACACCAAGGCGACGAUCAGUAGCUGGUCUGAGAGGAUGAACAGCCACAUUGGAACUGAGACACGGUCCAAACUCCUACGGGAGGCAGCAGUGGGGAAUUUUCCGCAAUGGACGAAAGUCUGACGGAGCGACGCUGCGUGAAGGAUGACGGCCUGCGGGUUGUAAACUUCUUUUCUCGAAGAAGAAGCUCUGACGGUAUUCGAGGAAUAAGCAUCGGCUAACUCCGUGCCAGCAGCCGCGGUAAGACGGAGGAUGCAGGUGUUAUUCGGAAUGAUUGGGCGUAAAGAGUCUGUAGGCUGUAUGGAAAGUCUUUUGUUAAAUGCCUC
This 518-nucleotide ribosomal RNA is filed under the name uncultured bacterium. RNAcentral describes it as "bacterial SSU rRNA". It matches the Rfam family "Bacterial small subunit ribosomal RNA", at positions 53 to 605 of the family's 1533-position model. The record is from RNAcentral.